AUUAAGCCACUCCGAUAUAGCAGCCACCCAGACAACUGCAACUCCAAUCCGUCUGUUAAGAAAAUAAGUCAAGGGGAACAGGAGAAGAAAAGCAGCUUUGGGGUCCCCAACAUCAACCUCAGUCAGUCCCUGCUCACUCAGCUCCUGAAACUGACCCCAGCCAGCUGUUCCAAAUGGCCGUCUUCUAACCCCACUUCCCAGUGUAUCAUCUACUCUCAGGCCUAACCCAUACAUAAUUGGGUAGUGAUCACUACCUACUGUGUGCUCCUCCUGUAUCUACAACCACACAAUACUUUCAUUGUCUGUGAAUGUGAGAGCAACGCUGAGGUUUACGAAUGGAGGUCAGCAUCACGGAAUGUGGCAGAUGAGAUAUCCCCUGCCCUAUGACUCCUCCGCACCCUUGCUUCCUGACCCACUAUCGAGUACAUCCCUCACCCAAAUAAGGUGCUCCUGGCUCCCAUCACCAAUGUGAGUGAAUAGGGCAGGAAGCUUCUUCUGGAAUGUGCCAGAGUUUCCCAACAGAUUCCUUCAAUGGCUGCUGCCUAAGAUGUGCUGUAUAUGAAGAAGUAAUGGACAACGGCUACACCCACACACAAACGCACAGAUACAAACACAGCACAUUUGCUAUGCUUACAUAACAUUUAUUCUUCUACUUAAUUGUAAUGGUAUAGUAUAUUAAUUGAAAUUGUGUGUCUAUGUGUUGUGGACUAAUAAUUGUUGACUUUGUUUGGGAAGAUUGAGGAAUUUGUUAAUGAUAUAGCUUGUAAUUUGUAGAUGAGGAGUACGUUAAUAGGUUGGAGUGUUCUUUGUGGCAAAAUUCAUGAAUAUUGUUGAAAAUAACUGCACUGGGCUGCUCCUAAUCUGCAUACUUCAAGAGUCACGAAUGCUGCAUGACAGAAUUGUUUCUGGGUUGUUAGAUGAGUCCCUCCAGUGGCAUCUUGGUUGAGCACAGUAGGACAACCAGAGUGGCUGAGGCAAAAGCUUAAGCCGCUGAAGACCAAGGAGGGGGAGACAAGAUUAAUUUAAGUCUUUGGGUAAAAUAAUUGAUUCUGUUGUAUGUGAUUUUUCUAUGUUGGCGUUUGUAUGUCUGGUGUAGCAGAAAAUCAAACAAAUUGUCAGAUCUUUGCAUUUACCUCCUGGGAAAAACAAGCCCAUUAUUAUGUCAUCAGUCCUUUCUGAGUGCUCAUGGAACUUGAAUGCAUCACAGUGUGAUUUCAUAAAGUUACAUUACUGCACUGCUGGUUGCUAUGGAAACUAUAAGCAUCACAAUGGCUUUCUCCUUAUAAAAACUUGAAUGCUAUCCUCAUUUUGCUUCACAUUUCUUCAGAGAGCACCUAAGUAGUGCUCUCUGAAAUCUUGUUUGAUAAAAAACAAACUCUAGAUCAAAAUGAAAUAGUCAGAAUGUACUUAUGGGCACCGAUGGGUCAAGCUCAGAGCCCAACUGCUCUAACUGCCAACCCGCACAUAUUAAGGAAGUUGUUAGGGCAAAGAAGAUGAAGACCCAUCCGAUUUGGGCUGCCUUCUAGGGAUGUGCAUGACAAAUAUUUUCACUAUCGAUAAUUCCUCAGCUUUUGUCGUUGAAUAGUUGACCCCACACACUCGUUCCCAAAAGAGGUACUAAAUGGAAAAAAUAAAUAUGUAAAUUGUAGUAUGCUAUGCAAUAAAUUCAAAGUUGUAUUUAAAUAUGUUAUUAACAACCUCAAUAACGUUUUAGUAUAAACAAUCAGGCCAGAUGUACUUUUACUCAGGAGACAUUCAGAUUCAGAUAUGCCUUAACGGCAGCAAAUAACCUAACGCAUAGGCCUGUCAAGUCGUUAGUAUUGUCAGGUCCUUGCUGGGGUUCCUCUAGGCAUCUCUAUGUGCCUGGAGGCCACAGUCUGGGUCUGACUCAUAGACUGUAAAUAUGGUCUGACUGCAGAAGUGCCUUUUGGCAUAUCUAUGUAUCUAUGCACUACUGUUUAAUUAUCCCCAAUAAGAGGCAGCUGCCUUUGAUGGGGGUCCUAUUUAAGUUGCGCUGUUUGUCCUUUGUUUGUUGGUCAUUGUUUGUAGUUAGCGGUGCUAGGCUUGGUUGUUACGCUUCAGUUCAUGGUCAUACCCGCCUUUUGUUCUUUUUGGUUAAGUUUGGAAUAAGAAACAUUAAAAGGAUGUCUGUGCUCUAAUCUGCGCUUGUGUCCUGCCUCCUCAAUCAUGACAAGUAAAUUAUUACAAGUGAUUUAUUUCAAAUUAUUGUUACAACGUUUUACAUUAAUUACAAUUGCAAAUGAACUAUAAACGUCAUCUAAAAACACGCAUUGUCCCCCAUGAUUUAGCACAGAGAUGUGUAUGAAUUG
Long non-coding RNA from Esox lucius (northern pike), 2330 nucleotides. RefSeq lists it as uncharacterized. NCBI's taxonomy places the organism in Eukaryota, Metazoa, Chordata, Actinopteri, Esociformes, Esocidae. The transcript is spliced from 5 exons. The record is from RefSeq and is a predicted model, not a curated record.